UGGGGAAUCUUGGACAAUGGGGGCAACCCUGAUCCAGCCAUGCCGCGUGAGUGAUGAAGGCCCUAGGGUCGUAAAGCUCUUUCGCCAGGGAUGAUAAUGACAGUACCUGGUAAAGAAACCCCGGCUAACUCCGUGCCAGCAGCCGCGGUAAUACGGAGGGGGUUAGCGUUGUUCGGAAUUACUGGGCGUAAAGCGCGCGUAGGCGGACUGGAAAGUUGGGGGUGAAAUCCCAGGGCUCAACCCUGGAACUGCCUCCAAAACUAUCAGUCUAGAGUUCGAGAGAGGUGAGUGGAAUUCCGAGUGUAGAGGUGAAAUUCGUAGAUAUUCGGAGGAACACCAGUGGCGAAGGCGGCUCACUGGCUCGAUACUGACGCUGAGGUGCGAAAGUGUGGGGAGCAAACAGG
This 404-nucleotide ribosomal RNA is filed under the name uncultured bacterium. RNAcentral describes it as "bacterial SSU rRNA". It matches the Rfam family "Bacterial small subunit ribosomal RNA", at positions 355 to 776 of the family's 1533-position model. The record is from RNAcentral.